GCAGCUGGCUAGCUCAGUUGGUAGCGUGUGGGCCUCUUGAUCUCAGGAGUGUGGGUUUGAGCCCCAUGCUGGGCA
This is a non-coding RNA of Pangasianodon gigas (Mekong giant catfish), 75 nucleotides long. The record is from the annotation of a GenBank genome assembly. Lineage: Eukaryota; Metazoa; Chordata; Actinopteri; Siluriformes; Pangasiidae.